GUAAGGAGGGGGAUGAGGGGUCAUGCCUCUUCUCAGGGAAAGCAGGAGCCCUUCAGCAGGGUCAGGGCCCCUCAUCUUCCCCUCCUUUCCCAG
This is a microRNA precursor of Gorilla gorilla gorilla (western lowland gorilla), 93 nucleotides long. The record is from Ensembl. NCBI's taxonomy places the organism in Eukaryota, Metazoa, Chordata, Mammalia, Primates, Hominidae.